This 490-nucleotide unclassified non-coding RNA is filed under the name Hevea brasiliensis (rubber tree). Lineage: Eukaryota; Viridiplantae; Streptophyta; Magnoliopsida; Malpighiales; Euphorbiaceae. The record is from RNAcentral.
GCCUGCUUUCUCUUGUUUGGCGAGUGGGUUCUUUUUUCCAGCCACUACAUUGGUUUUUAUAUAGAUUUUGGUUGAUUAAGUAGCGGCCAAUUUACGGCAGGAGGUCUCAUGGCUACUAUGAUCUUUCAAUGUCCUUGUGUUUCUCUUUCUCUAUGUUUUGGAUUUUGCAUGCAGGUGGCUUGCUUCGAUUUUUUGGGGCUUUUGGGUAUUGGGGCAUGUUACUUAUGGCCAUGGCUGUGUCUUGGUUGUGGUUCAUUGUCGCGGUUGUGCUCUAAAGGAUUGAUAUGUUUAGUACGGUAUAUCUAAGAAUAGUUCACGCUGCAGAGCAGUAGCCUUCCUGUUCCUUUACAUAGUCGAUUUUAAGCUUUGCCUUACUCCUUUAGAGUCUAUUUGGAUGAGGGUGAAUCAAGGUUAAAUAAAGAUAGGAUAACUAAAUGAGUUUUGUAUCUUGUUUAAAAUGAAUGAAUAAAGGGUAAAUUUUACCUUUCUU